CAACUGUUUGCGGGAGAGAGUAGCGAAAACUACCGCCGAAGGGGAAAUCGCCCGAAAUCUCUCAGGCAAAAAGAACCGUAAGCAGAUC
Molecule: non-coding RNA, 88 nt
Filed under: Mesorhizobium sp. Root157
Lineage: Bacteria; Pseudomonadati; Pseudomonadota; Alphaproteobacteria; Hyphomicrobiales; Phyllobacteriaceae
Also listed under: 1 other name
Description: Glycine riboswitch aptamer
Rfam family: Glycine riboswitch aptamer
About the family: This family represents the bacterial glycine riboswitch. Glycine riboswitches usually consist of two metabolite-binding aptamers domains with similar structures in tandem. The aptamers cooperatively bind glycine to regulate the expression of downstream genes.
Source: Rfam by way of RNAcentral